CGCGUAGCUCAGUUGGUUAGAGCGCUUCCUUGACAUGGAAGAGGUCGGUGGUUCGACAAAAUCGUCGGGA
RNAcentral lists this transfer RNA (70 nucleotides) under Gammaproteobacteria bacterium. RNAcentral describes it as "tRNA-Val". RNAcentral also lists the same sequence under 1 other name. Lineage: Bacteria; Pseudomonadati; Pseudomonadota; Gammaproteobacteria. The record is from RNAcentral.